This 253-nucleotide ribosomal RNA is filed under the name uncultured bacterium. RNAcentral's name for it is "partial 16S ribosomal RNA". It matches the Rfam family "Bacterial small subunit ribosomal RNA", at positions 524 to 776 of the family's 1533-position model. The record is from RNAcentral.
UACGUAGGGUGCGAGCGUUGUCCGGAAUUAUUGGGCGUAAAGCGCGUGUAGGCGGCUUUGCAAGUCGGGUGUGAAAGCCCUCAGCUCAACUGAGGAAGUGCGCCCGAAACUGCAGAGCUUGAGUACCGGAGAGGAUGGUGGAAUUCCCCAAGUAGAGGUGAAAUUCGUAGAUAUGGGGAGGAACACCGGUGGCGAAGGCGACCAUCUGGACGGAUACUGACGCUGAGACGCGAAAGCGUGGGUAGCAAACAGG